Molecule: ribosomal RNA, 494 nt
Filed under: uncultured bacterium
Lineage: Bacteria
Description: bacterial SSU rRNA
Rfam family: Bacterial small subunit ribosomal RNA
Source: RNAcentral
GAUGAACGCUAGCUACAGGCUUAACACAUGCAAGUCGAGGGGAAACGACAUCGAAAGCUUGCUUUUGGUGGGCGUCGACCGGCGCACGGGUGAGUAACGCGUAUCCAACCUGCCCACCACUUGGGGAUAACCUUGCGAAAGUAAGACUAAUACCCAAUGAUAUCCCACGAAGGCAUCCGAAUGGGAUUAAAGAUUUAUCGGUGAUGGAUGGGGAUGCGUCUGAUUAGCUUGUUGGCGGGGUAACGGCCCACCAAGGCGACGAUCAGUAAGGGUUCUGAGAGGAAGGUCCCCCCACAUUGGAACUGAGACACGGUCCAAAACUCCUACGGGAGGCAGCAGUGAGGAAUAUUGGUCAAUGGACGAGAGUCUGAACCAGCCAAGUAGCGUGCAGGAUGACGGCCCUAUGGGUUGUAAACUGCUUUUAUAAGGGAUAAAGUGGGUCUCGUGAGACUUUUUGCAUGUACCUUAUGAAUAAGGACCGGCUAAAUUCCGUG